Molecule: ribosomal RNA, 399 nt
Filed under: uncultured bacterium
Lineage: Bacteria
Description: partial 16S ribosomal RNA
Rfam family: Bacterial small subunit ribosomal RNA
Source: RNAcentral
AUACGUAGGGUGCGAGCGUUGUCCGGAAUUACUGGGCGUAAAGAGCUCGUAGGUGGUUUGUCGCGUCGUCUGUGAAAUUCCGGGGCUUAACUCCGGGCGUGCAGGCGAUACGGGCAUAACUUGAGUACUGUAGGGGAGACUGGAAUUCCUGGUGUAGCGGUGAAAUGCGCAGAUAUCAGGAGGAACACCGGUGGCGAAGGCGGGUCUCUGGGCAGUAACUGUCGCUGAGGAGCGAAAGCAUGGGUAGCGAACAGGAUUAGAUACCCUGGUAGUCCAUGCCGUAAACGGUGGGCGCUAGGUGUAGGGGUCUUCCACGACUUCUGUGCCGUAGCUAACGCAUUAAGCGCCCCGCCUGGGGAGUACGGCCGCAAGGCUAAAACUCAAAUGAAUUGACGGGGG